This 459-nucleotide ribosomal RNA is filed under the name uncultured bacterium. RNAcentral describes it as "partial 16S ribosomal RNA". It matches the Rfam family "Bacterial small subunit ribosomal RNA", at positions 338 to 795 of the family's 1533-position model. The record is from RNAcentral.
CCUACGGGAGGCAGCAGUGAGGAAUAUUGGUCAAUGGGAGAGAUCCUGAACCAGCCAAGCCGCGUGAGGGAAGACGGCCCUAUGGGUUGUAAACCUCUUUUGUCGGAGAACAAAACCCGGGACGUGUCCCGGACUGCGUGUAUCCGAAGAAAAAGCAUCGGCUAACUCCGUGCCAGCAGCCGCGGUAAUACGGAGGAUGCGAGCGUUAUCCGGAUUUAUUGGGUUUAAAGGGUGCGUAGGCGGUCCGUUAAGUCAGCGGUAAAAUUGCGGGGCUCAACCCCGUCGAGCCGUUGAAACUGGCAGACUUGAGUUGGCGAGAAGUACGCGGAAUGCGCGGUGUAGCGGUGAAAUGCAUAGAUAUCGCGCAGAACUCCGAUUGCGAAGGCAGCGUACCGGCGCCAGACUGACGCUGAGGCACGAAAGCGUGGGGAUCGAACAGGAUUAGAUACCCCAGUAGUC